CACAGUUGUGUCAUCUGCGAACUUCAGUAGCUUAACAGAUGGAUCGUUGGAGAUGCAGUCAUUGGUAUACAGAGAGAAGAGAAGUGGGGAGAGCACACAGCCUUGGGGGGGGGGCUGUGCUAAUUGUACAGAUCACUCAUGCAACAUCUUGCAACAAAAUGGAGACCCAUACAACUUUAUCCAAAAUUGCCUGACCAUUCAAUCCAGCACAACUAACUCAAGUCGAGUAAAGGAUAACACUGCCAUACAUCAAAACCAUCUCAGAAAUCACUCAAGAUCUGGCCUGAGGUUUCCAGGGAACUAGAGAUGUGCUCAGCUGGCUCCACUGAUCAGAAGGCCAUUCUUAUAUCCCUUCACCUAGGAUAAAGAAGAAAAAUAUUUGAUAGAGAUCGGGUGAGCAGAAGACAUAUUUGUACAGGAAGGAGAGAACAAAAAAAGAAAUGAAACAAAAGCAGGAUGGAAAUUUGGCAAACAGGAGGUGAUUUGACAGAUAAGGAAGGGAAAGGGAGUCUUUAUAUUCCUUUCCCUUAUAUAUAAAAGAUGAGUAUCUACAAUGAAGCAGAAGAGAGAAGAAGCUAUUUCCAUUCUUGUUGCCUCAUCAAUGUCUCCUCUACAGUUCUAUAAGUUUCACCGGCCAGAUGAAUAAACAGUUUUUUGACAGUCACUCUCAUCACUGGCUAUCUCGAAACAUUGGGAGUAAGAAACAAAGAAGGUCAUUGACCCACCCCUUAUCUUCAAUCCACAGAAGAGGAAAAUAACAUAAAUUGUCAAUCCCAUCAACAAAUUAGUUGAGCCUAUGGGUUAUUGUCAGUUCAUUAUGGUUGGGUUUUCGUUACUUGCCCUUAUUUGCUUUUUUGUUUGUUUUGUUUACAUAUCUCACUUUUAUAUUUCUUACUUUUUAUAAUACUGAUAUAUUAACUGCCCAAAAUCACUUCAUGUCUAUAGCCAAGUAAAUUGAAUAAAACAAUAUAAACCCAUUCAUAUCAUAUCCCUUGUUGUGCAUAUUUGAGUUCAAGAAAAAAAAAGCUGAGCAAUUUGAGUUGCAAAGCUGGCAUCCUUUCCUAUGAAGAAUCUUCAUAAGACAGCCAAAGUCAAGGAACCAGUACAAAUUGCACUGGGUUCCAAUUACUUUCUGGGUACAAUUCAAAGUGCUGUGUUAUCACCUACAUAACACAAUAAUAAUAAUAAUAAUAUUUUUAUUUAUAGACCGCCCUUCUCCCAAAGGACUCAGGGCGGUGUACGGCCACAAAUAAAAUACAGAAAGAAAACAACAAUACAAAACUAAAACAACCCUUAAAAAACCUAUUUAAUAUGGCUACUUAUUACCCUCUAAAAUUUACAAAAUUUUAAAACCCAUAAAUCAAUUUGUAAAUCAUUGUAAGCCGCCCUGAGUCUUCGGAGAAG
This is a long non-coding RNA of Ahaetulla prasina, 1404 nucleotides long. RefSeq lists it as uncharacterized. Lineage: Eukaryota; Metazoa; Chordata; Lepidosauria; Squamata; Colubridae. The record is from RefSeq and is a predicted model, not a curated record. The transcript is spliced from 3 exons.